GAAGGUUUUCGGAUCGUAAAGCUCUGUUGUUAGGGAAGAACAAGUGCCGUUCGAAUAGGGCGGUACCUUGACGGUACCUAACCAGAAAGCCACGGCUAACUACGUGCCAGCAGCCGCGGUAAUACGUAGGUGGCAAGCGUUCCGGAAUUAUUGGGCGUAAAGGGCUCGCAGGCGGUUUCUUAAGUCUGAUGUGAAAGCCCCCGGCUCAACCGGGGAGGGUGAAACGAGGGAACUUGAGUGCAGAAGAGGAGAGUGGAAUUCCACGUGUAGCGGUGAAAUGCGUAGAGAUGUGGAGGAACACCAGUGGCGAAGGCGACUCUCUGGUCUGUAACUGACGCUGAGGAGCGAAAGCGUGGGGAGCGAACAGGAUUAGAUACCCUGGUAGUCCACGCCGUAAACGAUGAGUGCUAAGUGUUAGGGGGUUUCCGCCCCUUAGUGCUGCAGCUAACGCAUUAAGCACUCCGCCUGGGGAGUACGGUCGCAUUCCUGAAACUCAAAGGAAUUGACGGGGGCCCGCACAAGCGGUGGAGCAUGUGGU
This 538-nucleotide ribosomal RNA is filed under the name Bacillus subtilis. RNAcentral's name for it is "bacterial SSU rRNA". It matches the Rfam family "Bacterial small subunit ribosomal RNA", at positions 410 to 945 of the family's 1533-position model. Lineage: Bacteria; Bacillati; Bacillota; Bacilli; Caryophanales; Bacillaceae. The record is from RNAcentral.